RNAcentral lists this ribosomal RNA (253 nucleotides) under uncultured bacterium. RNAcentral describes it as "partial 16S ribosomal RNA". It matches the Rfam family "Bacterial small subunit ribosomal RNA", at positions 524 to 776 of the family's 1533-position model. The record is from RNAcentral.
UACGUAGGGUGCAAGCGUUGUCCGGAAUCAUUGGGCGUAAAGCGCUCGUAGGUGGUCAUGUAAGUCCGCUGUGAAAGUCAAAGGCUCAACCUUUGAAAGCCGGUGGAUACUGCAUGACUAGAGUACGGAAGAGGCGAGUGGAAUUCCUGGUGUAGCGGUGGAAUGCGCAGAUAUCAGGAGGAACACCAAUAGCGAAGGCAGCUCGCUGGGACGUUACUGACACUGAGGCGCGAAAGCGUGGGGAGCGAACAGG